UACGUAGGGUGCGAGCGUUGUCCGGAAUUAUUGGGCGUAAAGAGCUCGUAGGCGGUGUGUCGCGUCGAUCGUGAAAACCUGCAGCUUAACUGUGGGCUUGCGGUCGAUACGGGCAUCACUGGAGUUCGGCAGGGGAGACUGGAAUUCCUGGUGUAGCGGUGAAAUGCGCAGAUAUCAGGAGGAACACCGGUGGCGAAGGCGGGUCUCUGGGCCGAUACUGACGCUGAGGAGCGAAAGCGUGGGGAGCGAACAGG
This 254-nucleotide ribosomal RNA is filed under the name uncultured bacterium. RNAcentral describes it as "partial 16S ribosomal RNA". It matches the Rfam family "Bacterial small subunit ribosomal RNA", at positions 524 to 776 of the family's 1533-position model. The record is from RNAcentral.